CUUAAAGAUGUUGUUGUUUCAGGUCUGAGUCAAAAGUGUUUGGCAGAGAUGCAAGCCUUUCCAAGCAGACAAGUUCACUGUUCACCUGUAAUGUUCAUUCUUGUCUGCCAAUCUAAAGGUCUCCCAUCUGCCCAUCAGACUUGACAGAGUCAAACAAAACAAAAACUGGUGAAUUUCUUCUAAGAAAUGUAAAUGCCUCCAGCCAAGUAUGGGAAAGAGCUUCUGAAAUGUCUUCAGGGAUUUUACAUUCUGUAGCUGGCAAAACAAGUCCCCAUUUAAAUACUAAGCUUACUACCCUAAUGACUGUGAAGUACUUGUUCCCUGGAACUGCACCUGUUCAGCAUGACACCCUGCUUUGCUGGCGAUGUCACAUGCAGCACGGACUAUAAUUGGAGAAUGAAACCUGUCUGUGGGGGCAAGUCUGCAGUCGCCCGGCUGGUGGUGUAGCACAGACAGAGCAAGGGUUACAUCAAGGCUGUUCUCUGGACCGUGCAAACAGUCUAGACCAAUGACCUGCAGCAUCAUGCCCUUUGAAGAAGAGGCAAGUUCGGUCAUGAUGAAGAAAAAUCAAGGCGUACCCCUUUUAACAAUAGGGAGCAGCUCGUGGCUGCAAAGAGGUAAGCAGGGGUAAGCGAAAAAGGCAUCUGCUUCCAUGGUUACAGGCCAACUAUGAGAACCUUGCUUUUCAAGAGAGACUGUUCUCAUGCUCCCUCACAGGCUAUAUCAUGCAUUAUAAGUAAAGGAAGGUUGAGCUGAAAUCCACAUAGUUAUUUCAGAGUAAAAUGAUACGCGGGCACAUGGCUGUUAGCAAAAAAAAAAGUCACAU
RNAcentral lists this long non-coding RNA (826 nucleotides) under Gopherus agassizii (Agassiz's desert tortoise). RNAcentral describes it as "lncRNA (ENSGAGG00000015154.1)". Lineage: Eukaryota; Metazoa; Chordata; Testudines; Testudinidae. The record is from RNAcentral.